GAUGAACGCUGGCGGCGUGCCUAAUACAUGCAAGUCGAGCGAACAGACGAGGAGCUUGCUCCUCUGACGUUAGCGGCGGACGGGUGAGUAACACGUGGAUAACCUACCUAUAAGACUGGGAUAACUUCGGGAAACCGGAGCUAAUACCGGAUAAUAUAUUGAACCGCAUGGUUCAAUAGUGAAAGACGGUUUUGCUGUAACUUAUAGAUGGAUCCGCGCCGCAUUAGCUAGUUGGUAAGGUAACGGCUUACCAAGGCAACGAUGCGUAGCCGACCUGAGAGGGUGAUCGGCCACACUGGAACUGAGACACGGUCCAGACUCCUACGGGAGGCAGCAGUAGGGAAUCUUCCGCAAUGGGCGAAAGCCUGACGGAGCAACGCCGCGUGAGUGAUGAAGGUCUUCGGAUCGUAAAACUCUGUUAUUAGGGAAGAACAAAUGUGUAAGUAACUAUGCACGUCUUGACGGUACCUAAACAGAAAGCCACGGCUAACUACGUG
Molecule: ribosomal RNA, 497 nt
Filed under: uncultured bacterium
Lineage: Bacteria
Description: partial 16S ribosomal RNA
Rfam family: Bacterial small subunit ribosomal RNA
Source: RNAcentral